CUACGGGAGGCAGCAGUGAGGAAUAUUGAGCAAUGGGCGCAAGCCUGACUCAGCAACGCCGCGUGGAUGAUGAAGGCCUUCGGGUUGUAAAAUCCUUUUCUGGGGGACGAUAAUGACGGUACCUCAGGAAUAAGUUCCGGCUAACUACGUGCCAGCAGCCGCGGUAAAACGUAGGGAACAAGCGUUAUCCGGAUUUACUGGGCGUAAAGCGCGCGCAGGCGGCAUGGAAAGUUGGACGUGAAAACUCCUGGCUUAACUGGGAGAGGUCGUACAAAACUACCAAGCUAGAGGUUGGAAGAGGAGAGUGGAAUUCCCGGUGUAGUGGUGGAAUGCGUAGAUAUCGGGAGGAACACCAGUGGUGAAAACGGCUCUCUGGUCCAAUACUGACGCUGAGGUGCGAAAGCGUGGGGAGCGAACGGGAUUAGAAACCCGAGUAGUCC
RNAcentral lists this ribosomal RNA (440 nucleotides) under uncultured bacterium. Its description in RNAcentral is "bacterial SSU rRNA". It matches the Rfam family "Bacterial small subunit ribosomal RNA", at positions 339 to 796 of the family's 1533-position model. The record is from RNAcentral.